AUUGAACGCUGGCGGCAGGCCUCACACAUGCCCGUCGAACGCGUGGCGGACUGGUGAGUAAUGUCUGCGCCACCGCCUGAUGGAGGGGGGUUACUACUGGAACCGGUGCCUAAUACCGCAUACCAUCAACUGUUCCCAGAUGGGAGUAGCUUGUUAGUGGGGUAACGGCUCACCAAGGCGACGAUUCCUAGCUGGUCUGAGAGGCUGACCAGCCACACUGGGACUGAGACACGGGCCAGACUCCUACGGGAGGCAGCAGUGGGGAAUAUUGGACAAUGGGCGCAAGCCUGAUGAAGCAAUGCCGCGUGGAUGAAGAGGGCCUUCGGGUUGUAAAGGACUUUCAGCGGGGAGGCGUUAUCCGAAGAAGAAGCAACGGCUAACUCCGUGCCAGCAGCCGCGGUAAUUC
RNAcentral lists this ribosomal RNA (406 nucleotides) under uncultured bacterium. RNAcentral describes it as "partial 16S ribosomal RNA". It matches the Rfam family "Bacterial small subunit ribosomal RNA", at positions 30 to 526 of the family's 1533-position model. The record is from RNAcentral.